Molecule: ribosomal RNA, 311 nt
Filed under: Foraminifera sp.
Lineage: Eukaryota; Foraminifera
Description: SSU rRNA
Source: RNAcentral
AGUUCGUGGAGUGAUCUGUCUGCUUAAUUGCGUUUCACUAAGGACCUAUACAUUUACGUGUGUUGCAGCACUUUGACCCCUCUUUUCUCAACUUCUGUUGUUUAAGAGCGUGUGUCUUAGCUUUUGCUUGCUCGCACAACUAGGUCCUGAAAGCAACGAACGUGACCGCAACCUCUUGUUGCCUUUUGAUACCAACAGUUUCUUUCUUCUGCACUUUUGUGUGAAUGAUUGGACUGCAUAAAGGCUUUUUAAACUAGAGGGACCGCUGUUACUUUCUUAAACCAGAGGAAGGUUGCGGCAAUAACAGGUCU